This 687-nucleotide ribosomal RNA is filed under the name Dianema inconspicuum. Its description in RNAcentral is "SSU rRNA". It matches the Rfam family "Eukaryotic small subunit ribosomal RNA", at positions 27 to 565 of the family's 1831-position model. Lineage: Eukaryota; Evosea; Eumycetozoa; Trichiida; Dianemataceae. The record is from RNAcentral.
UAUGCUUGUCCCGAAGAUUAAGCCAUGCAUGUCUUCGAUUUUUAGUAGACCGAUAAAAUCUGCGAAGGGCUCCGUAAAACUGUUGCAACCUACCUCAAUCCUGGCUGCUCCGGGUAGCGGCCGUCAGGAUAACCUGGGUAAUUCUCAGGCUAAUACAUAUAGAAGAGCUGCAAGAUGAAUAAACCAGAACAGGGGGACCUGGAAGGGCGCGUGGCGAAAGCCGCAACCCCGGAAGGGUUCAAUGUCCCCCAUCGCUGCAGAGGUCGCAGGACCCAUGACCUGGGAGGUCUCCCCACAGCGCGCGGCCGGUGCCCUCUGCCCAUCCGGGUGGGGGGGCCACGCGGCGCUGGAGACCUAACGGUGAAAAGUACUGCGUGCCCCUUACCGUUGUUAAAGUGCCCUCUCGGUGCUACGGUUUUUCAUAUGCGCUUCAGCUCUAUCAACUCCAAACUUAGGGAGCGGCUCCCAUUGGUUGCAACGGAUACAGAGGAUCAGGGUUCGAUCCUGGAGAGGUAGCCUUAAAAAUCGCUACUACUUCUAAGGAAGGCAGCAGGCGCGCAACGUUCCCAAUGGGGAUACCCUGAGGACGUGAGGGGACAUAGCAAUACUGGGCCGUUAAACGUUCGGUAAUUGAAAUGGGGGAGAUUUAAAUCACCCACCGAGUAACAAUUGGAGGACAAGUCUGGU